RNA transcript from Chrysochloris asiatica (Cape golden mole), 960 nucleotides. It is a transcript of the gene named dual specificity protein phosphatase 13 isoform B-like, with no coding region annotated. The transcript is spliced from 6 exons. Lineage: Eukaryota; Metazoa; Chordata; Mammalia; Afrosoricida; Chrysochloridae. The record is from RefSeq and is a predicted model, not a curated record.
CCCCAACCGAGGCUUCCUCCGCCAGCUGUGCCAGCUGGACCAGCAGCUGUGGAGUUCAAGCCAGAGCUGAGGGGCCAGGUGAGGGUCUUGCUUUCUGCUAUGGGGCUCGUCCGCUUUGCUACCUUGGUACUGGUCCUGUUGGAGACUCUGGGACAGGGGGAUGCUCAGAAGAUGGUAAGACCCUGGUUUGGAGUCCACCCCAGAGUCUGCUACUCUGUCUUCUUUCUGCUGCCCACACCCCUCUCAGACAGUCUUCACUCCCUAUAGAAACAGCAUCAAGUGUGCAAAGACAGGCGACUGGAAAUCAGCAGCGCAGACUGCUCAUCAGAGAAGGCCACAGCUCGGGUCAGACAUCCCCACAGGAUGAACUCAAUGCAGAAGCAGGACCUCAGGAGGCCCAAGAUCCAUGGGGCAGCCCGGGCAGGUCCCUACCAGCCGCCCACUCUGGCCUCACUGCAGCGGCUGUUGUGGGCCAACCGGACUUCCACACUGACCCACUUCAACGAGGUCUGGCCCAACCUUUACCUGGGAGAUGCGUAUGCAGCACGGGACAAGAGUAAACUGAUCCAGCUGGGGAUCACCCACAUCGUGAAUGCUGCUGCGGGCAAGUUUCAAGUGGACACAGGUGCCAAGUUCUAUCGUGGGAUGUCCUUGGAGUACUAUGGCAUUGAGGCUGAUGACAACCCUUUAUUUGACCUCAGUGUCUACUUUUUGCCUGUUGCUCAAUACAUCCGAACAGCCCUCAGUAUUCCCCAAGGCCGAGUGCUGGUCCAUUGCGCCAUGGGGGUGAGCCGCUCUGCCACGCUUGUCCUGGCCUUCCUCAUGAUCUACGAGGACAUGACACUGGUAGAGGCCAUCAAGGUGGUGCAGGCUCACCGCGAUAUCUGCCCCAACUCAGGCUUCCUCCGACAGCUCCAGGUCCUGGACAACCGACUGGGGCGGGAGACAGGGCGGCUAUGA